Molecule: ribosomal RNA, 253 nt
Filed under: uncultured bacterium
Lineage: Bacteria
Description: partial 16S ribosomal RNA
Rfam family: Bacterial small subunit ribosomal RNA
Source: RNAcentral
UACGGGGGGGGUAAGCGUUGUUCGGAAUUACUGGGCGUAAAGGGCUCGUAGGCGGCCAACUAAGUCAGACGUGAAAUCCCUCGGCUUAACCGGGGAACUGCGUCUGAUACUGGAUGGCUUGAGUUCGGGAGAGGGAUGCGGAAUUCCAGGUGUAGCGGUGAAAUGCGUAGAUAUCUGGAGGAACACCGGUGGCGAAGGCGGCAUCCUGGACCGACACUGACACUGAGGAGCGAAAGCCAGGGGAGCAAACGGG